UGGGGAAUUUUGGACAAUGGGGGAAACCCUGAUCCAGCCAUGCCGCGUGCGGGAAGAAGGCCUUCGGGUUGUAAACCGCUUUUGUCAGGGAAGAAAUCCCUUGGGCUAAUACCCCGGGGGGAUGACGGUACCUGAAGAAUAAGCACCGGCUAACUACGUGCCAGCAGCCGCGGUAAUACGUAGGGUGCAAGCGUUAAUCGGAAUUACUGGGCGUAAAGCGUGCGCAGGCGGUCGUGCAAGACAGAUGUGAAAUCCCCGGGCUCAACCUGGGAACUGCAUUUGUGACUGUACGGCUGGAGUGCGGCAGAGGGGGAUGGAAUUCCGCGUGUAGCAGUGAAAUGCGUAGAUAUGCGGAGGAACACCGAUGGCGAAGGCAAUCCCCUGGGCCUGCACUGACGCUCAUGCACGAAAGCGUGGGGAGCAA
Molecule: ribosomal RNA, 424 nt
Filed under: uncultured bacterium
Lineage: Bacteria
Description: bacterial SSU rRNA
Rfam family: Bacterial small subunit ribosomal RNA
Source: RNAcentral